UACGUAGGGUGCGAGCGUUAAUCGGAUUUACUGGGCGUAAAGCGUACGUAGGCGGCCCGUUAAGACAGGUGUGAAAUCCCUGGGCUCAACCUAGGAAUUGCGCUUGUGACUGGCGGGCUCGAGUACGGUAGAGGGGGGUGGAAUUCCUGGUGUAGCAGUGAAAUGCGUAGAGAUCAGGAGGAACACCGAUGGCGAAGGCAGCCCCCUGGGCCUGUACUGACGCUCAUGCACGAAAGCGUGGGGAGCAAACAGG
RNAcentral lists this ribosomal RNA (253 nucleotides) under uncultured microorganism. RNAcentral's name for it is "partial 16S ribosomal RNA". It matches the Rfam family "Bacterial small subunit ribosomal RNA", at positions 524 to 776 of the family's 1533-position model. The record is from RNAcentral.